AGCGAACGCUGGCGGCAGGCUUAACACAUGCAAGUCGAACGGUCCUUCGGGAUAGUGGCGGACGGGUGAGUAACACGUGGGAACGUACCCUUAGGUUCGGAACAACACGGGGAAACUUGUGCUAAUACCGGAUAAGCCCUUCGGGGGGAAGAUUUAUCGCCUUUGGAGCGGCCCGCGUCUGAUUAGCUUGUUGGUGAGGUAAUGGCUAACCAAGGCUACGAUCAGAAGCUGGUCUGAGAGGAUGGCCAGCCACACUGGGACUGAGACACGGCCCAGACUCCUACGGGAGGCAGCAGUGGGGAAUCUUGCGCAAUGGGCGAAAGCCUGACGCAGCCAUGCCGCGUGGAUGAUGAAGGUCUUAGGAUUGUAAAAUCCUUUCACCGGGGACGAUAAUGACGGUACCCGGAGAAGAAGCCCCGGCUAACUUCGUGCCAGCCGCCGCGGUAA
Molecule: ribosomal RNA, 447 nt
Filed under: uncultured bacterium
Lineage: Bacteria
Description: partial 16S ribosomal RNA
Rfam family: Bacterial small subunit ribosomal RNA
Source: RNAcentral